GACCCGUCUUGAACCACGGAGUCUAACAAGUGUGCGAGUUAUUGGUCUAAAACAAUGUGACUUGAGUUUUGUUACUCUAUUUUAAGUUUUUGGUUUUAAUUCAAAAAAGAGAAUAGCGGCGGCGGCUUCUCAAGUACAUUAAACUAAAUAAAAACUAAAAGCAAAAUGAAAGUGAAAAGAAAGAACAGAAGCAUUGUGUAAUAACGUGUUUUGGUUUUUCUAAAAUGAUGAGAUCGAUUUGCUGCUGCUUUGAAAAAAGCGACGAAAAAGAGAUCGCAAUCAUUGAAUAUUCAGGACACGUGUUUUUUGUUGGCGACUGAUGACGGAGAUGGCGCAAGUUGUUUUCGUUGUUGUUGUCAGCUGUUCACGAGGUCGGAGGUCGGAAUAUAUCAAGAGCAUACUUGUUGGGACCCGAAAGAUGGUGAACUAUACCUGGCCAGGAUGAAGUCAGGAGAAAUUCUGAUGGAGGUCCGAAGCGAUUCUGACGUGCAAAUCGAUCGUCAGAGCUGGGUAUAGGGGCGAAAGACUAAUCGACCCAUCUAGUAGCUGGUUCCUUCCGA
RNAcentral lists this ribosomal RNA (560 nucleotides) under Caenocholax fenyesi. RNAcentral describes it as "partial 28S ribosomal RNA". It matches the Rfam family "Eukaryotic large subunit ribosomal RNA", at positions 646 to 964 of the family's 3401-position model. Lineage: Eukaryota; Metazoa; Arthropoda; Insecta; Strepsiptera; Myrmecolacidae. The record is from RNAcentral.